CNCAAAGCAAGGAAACAAGACGAGUUCUCAGCUGGGAGUAGGAUGAUAUUUACCCUGCUGGAAUCUGAUUCUCUGCACCUUCAUUCCAAGGCCUCACAUCGUUGUUGUGCAGACGCUUUCCCUCGUCCCGCCGGGCCCGAGCUGUGCAGAGAGUGUAAAGAUGGCUUUUUCCCUGCAGGAAGGAGGAAACAAGAUUAUGUUUUUUUUUCAAUUAGGUAGAGACUUGGGGGAAAAAAACAUGCAAGCGUUCGCAGGUAGCUGCAGUGACUGAUCUAGAGUUUUUCUUUUUCUCUUUUUUUUGGAAUGGCAAAGAUGAGGCACGAGGUUUUUAUUUUUCCUAGGAAAAGUUUACUUUUCGACCUAAAUUCAUGCAUUUUUGUUAGGGAUGUCCCGAUACCAAUUUUUCUCAAAGUAAAUACAGUGCAAGCUUCAAACUCACUUUGAGUCUUCCACCACUUCUCAUCACAACCCGCCGGAGAACUCAUGGAUGGAGAUAGAACAGAUGUUGUGAACAGAGGAAUCUGUCUUUAACCGUGUAGAAUCGAGCAGGAGGAAACCAUGCGCACUGCAGCAGGAGGGGUUUCCCAGGAGUUUGGCGCGGGGUAUGUGAGUGAAAAACAAUUUUGAACAACAACCUCUAAGGUCUCUCUUGUACAUGAGAUCAUGGAUCUCAAUGAGACCACCUGUUUAAAUGACAACCAUGCGAUCGUGCAUCGACUGUUUAGCUUCAUAUGAAGUAUAAUGGGCCCUUUAGAACCCAAACAUGACUGUAAAAACACAUUUAUUUUAUUUAGAACAAGGUGUCUCUCUUUCCUUUUA
Austrofundulus limnaeus is the source of this 819-nucleotide long non-coding RNA. RefSeq lists it as uncharacterized. Lineage: Eukaryota; Metazoa; Chordata; Actinopteri; Cyprinodontiformes; Rivulidae. The record is from RefSeq and is a predicted model, not a curated record. The transcript has 3 exons.